RNAcentral lists this non-coding RNA (129 nucleotides) under Microbacterium sp. RNAcentral's name for it is "FMN sequence". It matches the Rfam family "FMN riboswitch aptamer (RFN element)". Rfam says of the family: The RFN element is a highly conserved domain that is found frequently in the 5'-untranslated regions of prokaryotic mRNAs that encode for flavin mononucleotide (FMN) biosynthesis and transport proteins. The record is from RNAcentral. Lineage: Bacteria; Bacillati; Actinomycetota; Actinomycetes; Micrococcales; Microbacteriaceae. RNAcentral also lists the same sequence under 1 other name.
CACGUGCUCCGGGAUCGGUGAAAGUCCGAACCGGCGGUCAAAGUCCGCGACUCGCAGCCCUUCACGGCCGCGAUUGAACUGGUGAAAUUCCGGUACCGACAGUCACAGUCUGGAUGGGAGAAGCACAGG